RNAcentral lists this long non-coding RNA (2543 nucleotides) under Homo sapiens (human). Its description in RNAcentral is "non-protein coding lnc-EMP2-2:1". Lineage: Eukaryota; Metazoa; Chordata; Mammalia; Primates; Hominidae. The record is from RNAcentral.
GUAGCUUUUAGUAGAUAUUACAUGUCAACUAUAUUUUAAAAAUUAUGUCUGUAUAUAAAGCUGUUAAUGCUUAUCUUGAGAAAUCCAUUUGUAAAAUGGCAAACUUAUGGUCUAACGGGAAUUCCACUAGAUUUUAAUGUAAUGAUAUGAAACUUUCAUGAAACUAUUCAACUAACUGCUACCAAUGAAAGCUCUUUUUUGUUUUUGGGCCGGAGUCUCGUUCUGUUGCCCAGGCUGGAGUGCAGUGGUGCAAUCUCGGAUGACGCCAACCUCCACCUCCCAGGUUCAAGCAAUUCUCCUGCCUCAGGAGGGGAAAGGUUGCAGUGAGCUGAGAUCGUGCCGUUGCACUCCAGCCUGGAUAACAAGAGCGAAACUCCGUCUUCCAAACAACAACAUCAACAACAGCAGCAACAAAAGAAUGAGUAGGGAGCAACACAUGCAAAAUAGUAGUAACUUUCUUAAGAUACUGUGGCUAGUAACUCCUUCCUGUCCCCCUUUCCAUCUCUGUAAACAUUUCCUUAUCACACGAAAUUCAAUGCAAGAUUUUUUUAGGCAGGAUUAAUAUUUUAUUCAAUCAGUAUUGGUGAAAUGGUCUACUCUUGGGUGCCUUAGACCCUGAUGCUUACUCUUUGGAAGUAAUUGCACAUAAAGGCAUUUCCUUCCAACUUAAGCAAGUUUAAUUUUUGUCAUGUGUUUUGGGCCAUAAACUUUCUCUUCUAUGAGCUUCUGCAGCUCAGUUGUUAUUGCCUUUCCCAUUUCCUCCUGAUUUUAAAAACAGAAAUGCUUAAACUUCUAAAUCUAGCCAUACUAUAGACACGGACAACAGUGGCACUAAUUCCUUCAAUACCUGUGGCAUGAGAAAAAACAAUUAUAAAAUCUCCUGGUUUUCUCUAGAGCCAGGAUAACAACAGGGAACAAUAUAUUUCUUUUUUCCUUUGUAAGGGUUCCUUUAUUUCUUAAAUGUUUUUAAACAUUUAAAAAUAGAUAAUGUAUACAAAAGUACAUGAAGGACAGGUAGAACAGCCAUGAUGGAGCCCCACACUUGAGCAAUUUGAAAAAUUGGGGAAAAAAAUAUCUAAAUAUCUAUUUGAAGACAUUAGAAAGCUGUGGUGGCAGCCAUAACUUGAGAGACCAAUAACUAGAGAGACCAAGAUCCAAGAGAAGUGAGCUGGACGCUUGGCCAGUGUUCUUCUCUCAAGGCAUUUGUCAACCCAGCCACACAGGAUGCUAUGAAAGCAAGCAAAAACUGACUGAAAUCACAGAGGGCUGGUAUUGAGGAGCCAAGAACUGGAAUAUAAGACCAGCAAUAGGAGGGGUGCCACAAUCCAUAUCCCAGGCAAGAGGGCUGUAACACAAGAAUGGGGGAAAAUAAGAAAUCACUGUCUUAUAAAAUCUGUAGAUCAGCCUCAGUUCUGCUCAAGUUCUGAAUAGAUUGAAAUAUUGUAUUGUAUCUCUAUUGCCAUGUAAUAAUUUACCCCAAAACAUAAUGGCCUAAAAAUCCAAACAUUCAUUAUCUCAGUUCCUGUGGGUAAAUAAGUAGGAAGUCGUGUAGUUCAGGAGUUCUACCUCACGUUUUCUCAUGAGGUUGCAGUCAGGAUGUUGGCAGGUGCUGUAGUCACCAAAGGUCUGACCAGGGCUGGGGGUCAGAGCCUAAAACGGCUUGUUCACAUAGCUAUUAGCAGGAUGCCUCACCAUGUAGAGCUCUGCAUAGAUUGCUUGAUGUUCUUAUGACAUGACAGUUAACUUGCUCCAGAGCAAGUCAUCUAAGGGAAAGCAAGGAAGCUAAUGUCUUUUAUGACCUACAAAAAUAAUGUCACUUGUGCCAUAUUCUAUUCAUUAGAAGUGAGUCACUAAGUAUAGUCCAAGAUGGAAAUUAGGCUUCACAUUUUAAAGGAGGGGUAUCGAAAAUUUGUGGACAUAUUUAAAAUCCAUCACAGGUGCUGUGUCUCUCUGCUGCUUUCCAGAGUACAGAGUGAAUCUAGUCUGGUGGAAGACAUCAUUUAGAGCCUUUACAGUUUCCAAUAUACAAUAUCCAGUAAUCAAACACAAAAUUAGCAACUGUCCUAACAAAUAGGACAAAGAUGUAAAACAGCAAACACAAAUAGAGUUCAAAGUGACCCAGAUAGGAGAGUCAUCAGAAAUAGAUCUGAAAAUCUUAGUGACUAAAAUGUACAACGCUUGGAUGGCAAGGUAAAGAAUUUCACCAAAGAACAUGAAUUUGUAAAAAAUAACCAAGAACUGAAAAAUAUACAAAUUGAAAUUAAGAAUACAUGGGUUUAAUAGCUACUUGGAUCCAAUAAAAGAAAGGAUUAAUAAGCUGGAACACAACACAGGUUAGUUGAAAAUAUCCAGACAAAAGUAUCUAGAGCAAAACAGAUGGAGUAUAUAGAAAAGCACAUAAUUAGAAACCAGUAAGACAGAAGACAUAGAAUGCUCCAGAAGCAAUAUCUGAAGCAAUAAUGUCAAGAAUUUUCCCAAGAUAAUGAAAGGUAUCAAGCCAUAGAUUCAAGAAGGGCCACAAGCCCCCAUCAGUAUAAAUUUAA